RNAcentral lists this ribosomal RNA (119 nucleotides) under Pteropus alecto (black flying fox). The record is from RNAcentral. Lineage: Eukaryota; Metazoa; Chordata; Mammalia; Chiroptera; Pteropodidae.
GUCUAUGGCCAUGCCACCCGGAACAAGCCCGAUCCCAUCUGAUCUCGGAAGCUAAGCAGGGUUGGGCCUGGUUAGUACUUGGAUGGGAGACCACCUAGGAAGACCAGGUGCUGUAGGUG